RNAcentral lists this long non-coding RNA (744 nucleotides) under Triticum aestivum (bread wheat). RNAcentral's name for it is "long non-coding RNA (TAES_LNC010662)". Lineage: Eukaryota; Viridiplantae; Streptophyta; Magnoliopsida; Poales; Poaceae. The record is from RNAcentral.
GCGGUGCGAUGCCGCUUGGCGAAGACGGCGUGGUGAUCGGCGUUGAGACAACGUCGUCCACGUCAAGAGGUGGCCGCCGCGUGCGGCAAGAGGACAUGGUGAUGGACGCCUGCGCUGCGAUGGCGUCGGUCCACGGCAGGGUGUGCAGCGCCGCGAUGGCGUCGUCAAGUGAUCGCGGGUGAUCCGUGUCAAGGAUUGAAGAAUCAAGAUUAAGGGUGAGAUUGUUAGGCUUUUUAAUCUUGAUUAUGUAUCUGCAUAUUUGUUUUGAGUCCUACAUGUAACUUAGAUGUCUAGGGAGUAGCGAGUCCGGCGAAGCUUUAACAAAGAUGUGUGGAGAAGGCGAGAUGCCAGACCGCCGUGAGAAGCGGCAAGACAUGAUGAAGCUGGAGCGUGACCGGCUGCACGAUGAGGAGGAGCUGGGUGAUCCGGCAAGGUAGUUAGCUGUGUGUGUUAGUGGCCAGGAUUUGUGCAUGCACUAGUUAGUUAGUUAGUGGCUGCAUGCAUGAGUUGCAUGGCCAGGUUGCGUGGGCGUUGAGAAAGGAUGGCGUGCAUGUAGCUAGUAGGUUAGUGCGUGGAGGCCGAGUCUUGUGCAUCGUGGAGAGAUUCCAGGGAUGCAUGGUCUUAUCUUGUACUGCCUACUUAAGUUAAGAAAAUGAAUGAGAAGAGGAGGCCGAGAGGGCUGAGGAAUAAGAUGUAGCCAAUGUAUUCACCAAGGAGAGAGCCUCAUGCAAAGUAAGAGCUGGU